AUCUUCGUACUCCUUCCAGGUCGUGCGCCGCCGAGGCUCCUCCGUGCUUCUCGUCCGUUUGCGCCGCCGUUCGUCAUCCGCCUGAGCCGCCGACGAGUAAGGCACGGACGAACCAAAAAAAACUACGAUGCGACUCCCACUCCCGAAGACGCGGCGAUGGUAGGGUACGAACUCCUGCAAGUCCGUUUCAUGCCUGCCCACCUCCUCUCCUUGAUUCCUCAUAUAUGAUGCGCAUCCGUCAUUUUUCAUGGUAUUGUACGGCCUUCUCGUCGAUCUCCAAGAUUCGAGCAGCCAGAAAAUAUCGAGAAGGAGGAUCGGAGCCACGGAGAGCGGUCUCUUGGGAUCGAGGAGCUCCACAAGAUCCACCUUCAAGUGCAAGUCCAAUCGGUCCCAAUCCCUCUCUUCCUCUUCUCUCUUUCCCGGCCUCAAGCAAUUACCGACCGUUUCUCAAUGCUCUUGGCUCAUCUCGUAGUACUGUAGAACCAUGAAUGUUGUUUUUGAUAUGCUGCAACCAUUGGCAUCUCAAAGUCUCUGGGAGCCAUGGUGCACUUCAAACAACUAGCUUUGUUUUGACCAAUUUCCUAGGCAAUGCCUCACUGACACGCCUAUCAGUCACCAUACCUUGAGGUUUCAGGAAGAUUUUGGUGGUUGUCGAUUAGCAAAGCUCUGUUGCAACUAGAACGUUGUUUCUCUGGUGUGAGCUGCGAAUUAGAUUAGUCAAGAGAGUGAUAGCCUUAAUCAUGAUUUUCUAGCCACCAAAUUGCUCCCAUAGUUAUUUUCUCAUUGACUCCAUCAAUUUACGCAGAUCUCUAUCAAAUGUUGACAGCUUGAACUCUGAAGUUGGGUAAGUUUGUGGUGCUUCAUUUCUCCUUUAGUAUUUACCGUGAUUUACUUCUCCCUGCUACUGUGCAAGGGAAAUGAUAACAGAUUCUCGGAAGUAAAUGGUAAAGAAGGUUUGAUCUUGGUAUUGUUUGCAAGGACUGAACCCUUAAGUAGCAAGUCGUUCCUGGAAGAAAUACAUGGAGCAUACCAUUCAUACUUGUUCAUGAUUUCCUCAAGCACAAUUAGCUUCAAGGCUUCGACAAGCCAUUACCUCUAAGUCAUGAAAGAAGGUUAUGGACUGAUGACUAAGCGGUUCGAGCUGAAGGAUCUUAUGUACUGAAGGAGCUGAAGAAAAUGAAUAUCAUGUUCUGGGAGUUCAAGCGAGUCUCCAACUGUAGAGAAGCAAACUAAAUAUGCCACACAUAUUUGUGCAAGAGAGGCACUUAGCUUAGACGUCUCUUCUAGCCUUGAUGCUAUUCCUGGUUUUCUGAGAGGAGUUGUUCAAUCAGAAUGUUUCAAUACUGGACCAGAGUCAACAAACGACAGGUUCAUGGGAAUGAAUCAAAUAAUUUUUCAGAAGUGUGUGGUAUUGUGCGAGUUUCCUUUUCUGGCGUGUAUGCGCUUUCCAGGUUGUUGACAGUCAAAAGGUAUUUAUUCCAGUCCAUUGCCUACUCUUUUCUACAUCCAGGUUCGUGCUUAUUGCACUUUUGUUAUGCUGGAGCUCAAUUCUUAUUUUUUCUGCUGAUGUUGGUGUAAAUUAUAUAUGCAGAUGCUAAGCCAGCUUUGAUUUAGUGAGAUUAAAUAGUUCAAGCAACCUUGUCUCUAACUGCUUUGGGAACCUUUUCUCUUAAUUAAAAAACAGUAAAAUUUAACUGCCUAGGAGACACUAGAACGUCCGAUCUAUCUAUUAAAUGCUCAUGAUAUCUUGCCAUCCCCAGGGCUCUUCUCCACCCGCCACCCAUCAUGACCAGUGAAAACAUUGAUGGGUGGUUGCAGUUUUUCUCUUUGUGCUGUAACAUGGAAUAACCAAAGAGAAGCUGUAGGAAAAUUUUCUUGGAAUCAAGUAAGUUGAGAUUAACAGCAUGCCGUUGAUCUUGGAAAAUUGGGCCUGCCUUCUACAAGAUGCAAGGCUCUAAACUCCACAAGGUUUCUUAACAUAUGUACUCCUCCGUUCUAUGAAACUUGUCUGAACUUAUCAAAAUCUGGAUGUAUUUAGACACUAUUUAGCAUCUGAUACGUUCAAAUUUUAGCAAAGUUCAGACAAGUUUCAUGAGAUGUAGGGAGUACAAAUGUGGAGCGAUGAAUCUCUAUCAGAGGCACGUGGCAUUUAUUGCCAGGGUUUUCCUGCAUAUCUGAAUAUAUAUUGCUUUGAUAUGUUAUCUGGGUCUCCUCAUGUAUGUCAAAUGAAGUCAAUUUCAUGUGUCGUUCAUAUGAAAUCCAUGAAAGGUGGCCAGGAGCUGACCGGGAAUAAAGGGUAUUCUGGAGCUUGUGAUACAAUUAUGUGUAGCGCCGCGCAUCAGUGUUCUGCAUAAUGCAACCCCUUUUAUGUCACUCUUUCUCUAAUUUUCCAUGCAAAUCAAAGAUUAAAAAUCUGUUUCUAUGAUCAUUGCUACUUGGUAUCAAUGCCAAGUAGCAAUGAGGUCUGCUGUAUAUCAAUGCUGGAUUAAAUUUGGAAAAAAACAAGUAUAGUGUAAUUUACUUAUUGCUUACAUGUAUGUGCUCAAAUUUUUCCGAUGAUUGUUACGAUUCUUACUUAUCUCUCAGAUAUGUGCUUGGCUCUAGACUCAAUAGUUCCAGUGUUACUACUUCAUUUUGACAUUCAGUUUUAGCAAUUAAAAUAAUUCCCAUUUUAGUGCUCUUCAAAUAUUUAGUUAGAUCUGAUCAACUUGUUCAUAUAUCUCAUGGUACAACUAUUACUACUUUGUGCAUUGUUCCUAUCAUGAAUCAUGAUGCCAUCAACAUAUCUUCACAAUUAUAUUCUAUUUUUUUCCCUAAAUUUACGUAUAUUGUUCCUGACUGUUGCAUUAAAACUACUCAGGGACAUGGGAUAAGCCCAGAGGACUUAAAUGGCCUAUGCAAGUUUAUUGAUGCCUCCAGAAAUUGAGGAGAUAACUCUUUCCUUCAGUACGGAAUAUCAUAUGCUUCAGCAGGAUAGGGUACUUAGAUGAGUUGGUUUUAAAAUCCGUUGAUUAAGUACUUUGGUCUGUAGAUACUAGAUAGUCAAUUCUUGUAAUGCAAGAGUUGAAUUUCUUGAAAAUGUGACGUUCUUAUUAGAGUUGAAUUAUAUAGAAGAGUAGAAAACGCUAGCUUUUAAAGGAUAGAACGGUGUAACUCAUAGCUAUAUCCAUUUUUAUCAACUUUCUCAUGAAUGUGAUCUUAGAAUAAGGAAAAGAGAACCCGGUUAUGUGAGUGUAUUAUUUUUUCUUGAAGUAUGUACUAUCACCUACAU
This is a long non-coding RNA of Lolium perenne, 3271 nucleotides long. RefSeq lists it as uncharacterized. NCBI's taxonomy places the organism in Eukaryota, Viridiplantae, Streptophyta, Magnoliopsida, Poales, Poaceae. The record is from RefSeq and is a predicted model, not a curated record.